Molecule: non-coding RNA, 2611 nt
Organism: Peromyscus maniculatus bairdii (prairie deer mouse)
Lineage: Eukaryota; Metazoa; Chordata; Mammalia; Rodentia; Cricetidae
Source: RefSeq, a predicted model, not a curated record
CAACUGAAAAAGAAAACAGUGGGCGCUCUUUUAACAAACCAACACUGUGGGUGUCUCUCCCAGGCGAAACCGAUGUGGACUUCAAAUCGGCGAUUUCCCACUGCUGCUAGCGAGCUGUCCCGGUUUCCGGUUCAAGGCAGGCCGGGUGGCAUGGCCCAGUGAGCCUGUCUUCCCCGUUUCUUGUUGGACACCUUGAUCUUCACCUUCCCUUUCUGUUUCCAGUCAGGGAGCUUUUCCUAUCUCCUGGUAUAGGACUGAUAAGUAUCCCACACGCCAGUCCCACUGAGGGGCACUCCGCGGUCAUACGACCAUCCUGUGUCAAGCCCAUCACCAGCCCUUUUUAAAGAGAGAGAGCAGGGAUAGGAAAGAUCGAGAUGGGAGAGAAAGAGGGGAGGGGGGCGGAGAACAGAAUGGUCCCUGCUCUUCUGGAUCAGUGAACUCUAAGUUCGAUAUCCGAGCAGCAGUUCUCACUGAUGAGUGGUGGCUGAAUGUAAACCGCCAAGCCAGGAUAGGAAGCCCUGUGUUCCCUGCUCACUGAUGCUGAAGUCUUAGGAAGGCUGCAGCAGGUGAUGGCAGCUACCAUCUCCCUUCCCUCUCCCCUCCUUGCCCUGCUGAUGUUGAGUGAGGAGGAGUCAGAGGCCCCUAGUUAGGGCUGCUGGCCCUUACCUGGCCCAGCUACUGUGCAGCGGACAGAACGUGGAGCGUAACCCCAAUGCCAUACACAGUUGGGGAAGGAUGUGCCCAUGUGCAUAACUAAAGAUGCUCCUUUAGAAGGAGGAGGUGCCUACCUGAGUGUGAGGGAUGCUGGGAAGCAAACCUCAUGGGAUGAUAAAUCCCCCUCUAGAAUAAGGCAUUUCUCUGGUGUAUUGAAUGGAGCCUUUGAAAAGCCUUACAGCUAUCAUGGAAAUUCCACUCGGGGAAUAAGAUGAAGAUGAAUAUCCUUAGCAUUGCAGACAUGGCUUACUCUCUGAACAAUAAGAACACCACAAAAGACAUUGAACUUCCCUUCUCCGGAUGUGGCGAGAGAAGGGAAUAAAUGUAGUUAUGCUGGGUUGAUAAAGGCCCCUCCUGGGGCUGUUUUACAGGCAUUUCUACUGCUUUCCAGUCAAGAGAGAAUGAGAACUUGAUUUCCACACAGUUCUGGAGCAACACAUGUUAGAAUUAGCUCACUUUCAUCAACAGCAUUCAAACAAACGACAGGAACAAUGCCCAGCAAAGACCUCAGCAUCUUAGCUGUGUCCUGCCAUCUCCGGCCUGUUACACCGCUUCAGCCUCUCCCAGCUAUGAAUGACAGCCAUUAUUCACGUGGCUCCAAGAUCACAACUGUCACUGCGUUUAUCUGUGCUAAACCCUCCGACGUUCAUUCUGGCUGGCCCUCUUCACAGGAACAAAGGAACCGGACUCUCACGUGAACUGAAAAAAAAUUUUUUUUUGGCUAAGUGGAUCCCCGAAUCUCGGGCUGAAGCUUCGGCACAGCAGACAUUUUGUGCAGAACAGUCCAAUGACAGCCUGUAAAUAAAUGACUCAAGGGACAGCCGGAGUGAGUCUUCUUGACCACUAGGGGGAACCAUUGGACCACACCUACAUCACAGUGGCAACUGGGUGAGGCUGGUCGUCAUUAUUCACCUGUUUUAUGGGUAGUCUUCCACAAUCAAAGCUGGCCGUUGCCAAUUGCUAGGAAUUACAUGGUAACAAAGCAGAUGCCUGGCUACACUAGGCAACACGUCUUUUAAAAAAGCAAAUUUGAUUUUGACAAUAUUACCAAGGAAUGCCUAAGAGACAAAAAUACUAGUGGGAUACAAAAAUUAUAACUGGUAUGCCAGCCAUCGCUGGCCUUUUCCCAGCAGUAACUGUUUCCAGGUAGUUAGGCGACAGGUAGGCUUUCUCUGUCUCUGGACUGUGUCUGUUCAGUGGCUUGGGUGUUAAGGGAUAUUGAUAGACAUAUACUUUUUUUUUUAAAAAAAAUUACAUUUGUAUUUAUUUUAUUGUGUGUCUGUCGAGGUAUGCAUGUAGAGAUCCAAGGACAACUUGCAGGAGUUGGUUCUCUCUUCUGACAUGUGGACUCCAGUGAUCAAAUUCGGGCCAUCGGGCUUGGCAGUAAGAACAAUACUACUGAGCUCUCUCACUAGCUCUAAAAUAUAUAUAUAUAUAUAUAUAUAUAUAUAUAUAUCUGUCUAGCAUUCCUAGAAAACUUUCAAGUAAUGAAAACCAUACACAUCUUUUGAAAAUGUGUCUUGAUUCCUUCACUUCCUCAAUAAGACCAUACUCAUACUUUUUCUUUCUUUAAAAGAUGUUGCACACUGCCCUUCAAAGGCUGACACCAUGGCAUCGCCUCAACUAGAAGGUACUUAGGCGUUAGCUGGGCCACCACAGCAUUGCCUUCACAUCUGCGCACAUCUGGAAGUGUCCCAAGACAUUCUGGGAAAGUCACAUCACUUGCUGACUGACAGGCACAGGGACUUGUUUCUGCUUUGAUAUCAGAUGCAUGAGAAGGCGGAGCGAAAGCUAAGUGAAGAAGCAUGUAGGCUGAUAGAGUGACGUGUUUAUUAGCUCACAGUCUGUGAUCCCCCUGAUGAAACAGUCCUAUAACAUCAUUAAAGCUUUCAACGGC